Molecule: microRNA, 21 nt
Filed under: Sarcophilus harrisii (Tasmanian devil)
Lineage: Eukaryota; Metazoa; Chordata; Mammalia; Dasyuromorphia; Dasyuridae
Description: Sha-Novel-13_3p (mature (guide))
Source: RNAcentral
AGGGCAGAUACGACUCUUGGU